GAUGAACGCUGGCGGCGUGCCUAAUACAUGCAAGUCGAGCGACGCGGGGACGGGGGAGUAACACGUGGAUAACCUCCUCUAAGACUGGGGUAACUUUCGGAUACCGUACCUAAACCGGAUACUAAUUGUUGGAUCCGGGAUGCUUUCGCUAGUUGUUAAGGUAACGGCUUACAAAGGCAACGAUGCAUAGCGGACCUGGGUGGGUGAUAGGCCACACUGGAACUGAAACACGGUCCAGACUCCUACGGGAGGCAGCAGUAGGGAAUCUUCCGCAAUGGGCGAAAGCCUGACCGAGCAACGCCGCGUGUGUGAUGAAGGUCUUCCGAUCGUAAAACUCUGUUAUUAGGGAAGCGGUACCUAAACAGAAAGCCACAACUAACUACGUGCUAGCCGCCGCGGUAAUAC
This 405-nucleotide ribosomal RNA is filed under the name uncultured bacterium. Its description in RNAcentral is "partial 16S ribosomal RNA". It matches the Rfam family "Bacterial small subunit ribosomal RNA", at positions 28 to 526 of the family's 1533-position model. The record is from RNAcentral.